Molecule: ribosomal RNA, 422 nt
Filed under: uncultured bacterium
Lineage: Bacteria
Description: bacterial SSU rRNA
Rfam family: Bacterial small subunit ribosomal RNA
Source: RNAcentral
UGGGGAAUUUUGGACAAUGGGCGCAAGCCUGAUCCAGCAAUGCCGCGUGCAGGAUGAAGCAUCUAUGGUGUGUAAACUGCUUUUGUACGGGAAGAAACCACCCCUCGUGAGGGGUAUUGACGGUACCGUAAGAAUAAGGAUCGGCUAACUCCGUGCCAGCAGCCGCGGUAAUACGGAGGAUCCAAGCGUUAUCCGGAAUCAUUGGGUUUAAAGGGUCCGUAGGCGGGUCUGUAAGUCAGUGGUGAAAUCUCCCCGCUCAACGGGGAAACUGCCAUUGAUACUGCGGGUCUUGAAUUAUUGGGAAGUAACUAGAAUAUGUAGUGUAGCGGUGAAAUGCUUAGAGAUUACAUGGAAUACCGAUUGCGAAGGCAGGUUACUACCAAUGGAUUGACGCUGAUGGACGAAAGCGUGGAUAGCGAACA